GGGCGCGUAGCUCAGCUGGCAAGAGCGCUGCCCUUACAAGGCAGAGGCCCCUGGUUCGAGUCCAGGCGCGCCCA
This 74-nucleotide transfer RNA is filed under the name Gemmatimonadota bacterium. RNAcentral describes it as "Gemmatimonadetes bacterium tRNA-Val". It matches the Rfam family "tRNA". Rfam says of the family: Transfer RNA (tRNA) molecules are approximately 80 nucleotides in length. The record is from RNAcentral. RNAcentral also lists the same sequence under 3 other names. Lineage: Bacteria; Pseudomonadati; Gemmatimonadota.